This 1382-nucleotide ribosomal RNA is filed under the name uncultured bacterium. RNAcentral's name for it is "bacterial SSU rRNA". It matches the Rfam family "Bacterial small subunit ribosomal RNA", at positions 18 to 1395 of the family's 1533-position model. The record is from RNAcentral.
CCUGGCUCAGGAUGAACGCUAGCUACAGGCUUAACACAUGCAAGUCGAGGGGCAGCAUGGUCUUAGCUUGCUAAGACUGAUGGCGACCGGCGCACGGGUGAGUAACACGUAUCCAACCUGCCGUCUACUCUUGGACAGCCUUCUGAAAGGAAGAUUAAUACAAGAUGGCAUCAUGAGUCCGCAUGUUCACAUGAUUAAAGGUAUUCCGGUAGACGAUGGGGAUGCGUUCCAUUAGAUAGUAGGCGGGGUAACGGCCCACCUAGUCUUCGAUGGAUAGGGGUUCUGAGAGGAAGGUCCCCCACAUUGGAACUGAGACACGGUCCAAACUCCUACGGGAGGCAGCAGUGAGGAAUAUUGGUCAAUGGGCGAGAGCCUGAACCAGCCAAGUAGCGUGAAGGAUGACUGCCCUAUGGGUUGUAAACUUCUUUUAUAAAGGAAUAAAGUCGGGUAUGGAUACCCGUUUGCAUGUACUUUAUGAAUAAGGAUCGGCUAACUCCGUGCCAGCAGCCGCGGUAAUACGGAGGAUCCGAGCGUUAUCCGGAUUUAUUGGGUUUAAAGGGAGCGUAGAUGGAUGUUUAAGUCAGUUGUGAAAGUUUGCGGCUCAACCGUAAAAUUGCAGUUGAUACUGGAUAUCUUGAGUGCAGUUGAGGCAGGCGGAAUUCGUGGUGUAGCGGUGAAAUGCUUAGAUAUCACGAAGAACUCCGAUUGCGAAGGCAGCCUGCUAAGCUGCAACUGACAUUGAGGCUCGAAGGUGUGGGUAUCAAACAGGAUUAGAUACCCUGGUAGUCCACACGGUAAACGAUGAAUACUCGCUGUUUGCGAUAUACUGCAAGCGGCCAAGCGAAAGCGUUAAGUAUUCCACCUGGGGAGUACGCCGGCAACGGUGAAACUCAAAGGAAUUGACGGGGGCCCGCACAAGCGGAGGAACAUGUGGUUUAAUUCGAUGAUACGCGAGGAACCUUACCCGGGCUUAAAUUGCAGAUGAAUUACGGUGAAAGCCGUAAGCCGCAAGGCAUCUGUGAAGGUGCUGCAUGGUUGUCGUCAGCUCGUGCCGUGAGGUGUCGGCUUAAGUGCCAUAACGAGCGCAACCCUUGUUGUCAGUUACUAACAGGUUCCGCUGAGGACUCUGACAAGACUGCCAUCGUAAGAUGUGAGGAAGGUGGGGAUGACGUCAAAUCAGCACGGCCCUUACGUCCGGGGCUACACACGUGUUACAAUGGGGGGUACAGAGGGCCGCUACCACGCGAGUGGAUGCCAAUCCCCAAAACCUCUCUCAGUUCGGACUGGAGUCUGCAACCCGACUCCACGAAGCUGGAUUCGCUAGUAAUCGCGCAUCAGCCACGGCGCGGUGAAUACGUUCCCGGGCCUUGUACACACCGCCC